UACGUAGGGGGCUAGCGUUGUCCGGAAUCAUUGGGCGUAAAGCGCGUGUAGGCGGUCCGGUAAGUCCGCUGUGAAAGUCGGGGGCUCAACCCUCGGAUGCCGGUGGAUACUGUCGGGCUUGAGUACGGAAGAGGCGAGUGGAAUUCCUGGUGUAGCGGUGAAAUGCGCAGAUAUCAGGAGGAACACCAAUUGCGAAGGCAGCUCGCUGGGACGUUACUGACGCUGAGACGCGAAAGCGUGGGGGAGCAAACAGG
Molecule: ribosomal RNA, 254 nt
Filed under: uncultured bacterium
Lineage: Bacteria
Description: partial 16S ribosomal RNA
Rfam family: Bacterial small subunit ribosomal RNA
Source: RNAcentral